Non-coding RNA from Oryzias latipes (Japanese medaka), 1000 nucleotides. The record is from RefSeq and is a predicted model, not a curated record. Lineage: Eukaryota; Metazoa; Chordata; Actinopteri; Beloniformes; Adrianichthyidae.
AAUCUCUAUUGGGGAUUGGCCUAUGGGGUUCCUCUAUGUCAAUCCGUUAGUAGAAAGACGGCGUCGUGGUUUCAAAUGUCACACAGCUUUGUGUUUAAGAUUGGACAGACACCAAACUAGGACAGCUGUGGUAACCAACUUUAUUGCAAAUAAAGGAUUUUUUUUUUUGCUUGUUAAAGAACUCAAAGUUUUUGGUCGGUUUUCUUUUUUUUUUUUGUUGCGAGAGGUGAUUUUCUCUUCAAGAAUUGGCACAUUCCUUCCGGGGUCACCACAGAGAACCACCUUUCACUGAUUCGCAAAAGUGGUUUGGCAGAGAGUUUUACACCGGUAGUCUUCCUGACACAACCCUGAAUUGUAUCCGGGCUGGGGGCCGGCACAGGGAGACCCAGAUCGGGCCAUCUUAUGGCUGCAUAACUUUCCUUUAUAAUGGUUCCAACUCUCUCUCUUAUUGAGUUUUUAUGUUGGACUUUUGCAGGGCUGGCCUUUAUCACCGGUUCUGUUCAUAGUUUUCAUGUAGAGAAUGUCUAGGCGCAGCCAGAGGCCGGAGGGGGUCUGGUUUGGGGACCACAGGAUUUCGUCUCUGCUCUUUGCAGAUGAUGUUGUCCUGUUGGCUUCAUCGAGCCAGGACCUCCAGCGUGCAUUGGAGCGGUUUGCCCAUCUCGGUGUUCCCCCAGAAGAGCUGGAGGAAGUGGCCGGGGCGAAUGAAGUCUGGGCAUCUUUGACUAGACUGCUGCCCCCGCGACCCGGUCCCGGAUAAGCGCAGGAAGAUGGAUGGAUGGAUGGCAGAAGAAAUUAAUAAAUGUUUUUGUGUAUAAACAUUUAUUAAAAUGAACGUUUUUGUGCUUUUCUGUGUGGAUAUGUUGGCUGAUACUAUUCUGAAUAUAACUUCAAUCCAAAAAGAACACUUGCUGACAUUAAGUGGCAUAAUGGAGACGAGGUGGAGCAGAAUUCUGGACACCAUUCUCCCUAAGUUUCUUACAGAAAUAAACCUUUAUAAGUA